Molecule: non-coding RNA, 1532 nt
Organism: Nicotiana tabacum (common tobacco)
Lineage: Eukaryota; Viridiplantae; Streptophyta; Magnoliopsida; Solanales; Solanaceae
Source: RefSeq, a predicted model, not a curated record
UUUCAAUCAAUUUUGCACAUAUCUUUUUUCUACUUUUUCCUUCGUUCUUUUUCCAUUUUGGGUUUCUUCUAGGUUCUCUGCAUCAUUGUUAGUUUCGAUUCUGAAGUUGAGUGAUUGUUGUAGGUUCUUUUCUCGUGCUUUGCCUCUGAUUUUCCCAGAUCCUUUUUCUCUUCUUUUAAUUUCUGCCCUAUCUUCUUUGGGGUUCUCUAUAUGAUUUUUAACUUUGCAAUCUUAUGGCAAGUGUGUGUUAAAUCGAGUGGUAAAACUGUGUUUGCAUCUCUUCUCUUUAACAUCUUAAUUCCCUUUUCUCUCUCUUUCUGCUCAACAUUCCAAUCUGGAAUUUUCUAAGAGUGCACGGAGAAAAAGAAGUGCAACAACAAUUCAUCAUAAUCAAAGUGUAGCACCGAAAAAGGGCAAAAACCAGGUCUACUCCUCUUUCAAAUUUUUUCAGCUCUUCUUAUUCUUGUCGAAUCCAUUUUAGGGCUUCAUUUUCUGAUCUGAUUUGAUCUUUUGCGGUUACAAAGUAAAGUGUGAGGGAAAAUUUAGAGUCAAAGGCACAAUUAAUUCUAAAGCUAUCAAUUAUAAAAAAAGAACUCAAAUAGAAUGGAGAAAAGCUUUGUGUACAAAAUUUCCAAACUAUUUGGGAUCCUUUGGUCUCUCCAAUGGAGUAAGAGGAACAAUUGAAGCUCUGAGAUUUUCUUAAAAUACAAUGUUCAACUACUUGAGGAAGAAGGACAGAGCUUUCUAAAUGCUUGAAGGAUAACAGACUGUUUGUCGAGACCUUGAGAGUUGUUGUUUUAAGUCUCAGUAGCUAAAUAUCCUGAUUGGAUUUUUCGAGAAAAGAAACUUGGAAGCACAAAAAUGCAUGUGCUGCCUGUAGCAGAGAAUGUCCUGAGGAGAAACUUUAGGCUCCUUCAAAUGAGGCUAAGCUGAAAACUAAGUAAUAACUUGGUUUUCUAUGUAACUUGAGAGAGUUUGAAAAGGAAAUGAAGCUGUUGUGAGUUAAAUCCUUCCAAAUUGUGUUUCAUUCUCCAAUUUUAGGGAAAUAAUGAUGCCUCAAGUUGACAUAUGGAUGUGGAUCAAGUUUCAAUUAUUUCGUGCAUGCAAAUUCAUGCUUUCAUGAUCAAAUAACAAUCAGAUUCUGUUUCUGAAUGAUUUGUGUGGCCCUUUCUACAUUUUGAUAUAGAGUUGGUCAUCUUUUCUUCUGACUAUACUUUUAAAAAUUUUCUUAGCUUUUGCUUUGAUGUAGGAAAUUAUAGGUUUCUGUGCUAACUACCUACUGCUUGGAAUCAAAGAGAUACAUGUUCUAAUGUGAUAUUAUUUUAUAAGUGAUAGUUAUAUAAGUCAAACAGGUAAGGAACUACUACUUAGACCGCAAACUAUAAAUAGCCGCCAAUCCUACCACUUAAACUAAAAAUAGCCGGUGAAUGCAUAUAAUAUAUGUAUUACAUGUGUAUAAUUAUGUAUAAUCAAUGUAUAAUCUAUGUAUAUGACUAGAAAGAGUAAACAAUUAAUAUGGCCGACUAUUUGUG